CGCGUAGGCGGACCUUCAAGUCGGAUGUGAAAUCUUGCAGCUCAACUGCAAGCCUGCAUUCGAAACUGGCGGUCUUGAGUACAGUAGAGGAAAGCGGAAUUCCAGGUGUAGCGGCGAAAUGCGUAGAUAUCUGGAAGAACACCAGUAGCGAAGGCGGCUUUCUGGGCUGAUACUGACGCUGAAGCGCGAAGGCUUGGGUAGCAAACAGGAUUAGAUACCCUGGUAGUCC
RNAcentral lists this ribosomal RNA (229 nucleotides) under uncultured bacterium. RNAcentral describes it as "partial 16S ribosomal RNA". It matches the Rfam family "Bacterial small subunit ribosomal RNA", at positions 568 to 796 of the family's 1533-position model. The record is from RNAcentral.